GCCGACUUAGCUCAGUUGGUAGAGCAGCUGAUUUGUAAUCAGCAGGUCGCGAGUUCGAGUCUCGCAAUCGGCUCCA
Molecule: transfer RNA, 76 nt
Filed under: Clostridiaceae bacterium
Lineage: Bacteria; Bacillati; Bacillota; Clostridia; Eubacteriales; Clostridiaceae
Also listed under: 8 other names
Description: tRNA-Thr
Rfam family: tRNA
About the family: Transfer RNA (tRNA) molecules are approximately 80 nucleotides in length. Their secondary structure includes four short double-helical elements and three loops (D, anti-codon, and T loops).
Source: RNAcentral